This 431-nucleotide ribosomal RNA is filed under the name uncultured bacterium. RNAcentral's name for it is "partial 16S ribosomal RNA". It matches the Rfam family "Bacterial small subunit ribosomal RNA", at positions 29 to 507 of the family's 1533-position model. The record is from RNAcentral.
AACGAACGCUGGCGGCAGGCUUAACACAUGCAAGUCGAACGCCCCGCAAGGGGAGUGGCAGCCGGGUGAGUAACGCGUGGGAAUCUACCCUGAACUGCGGGAUAGCUCCGGGAAACUGGAAUUAAUACCGCAUGUGCCCUGAGGGGCAAAGAUUUAUCGGUUCAGGAUGAGCCCGCGUCCGAUUAGCUAGUUGGUGGGGUAAAGGCCUACCAAGGCGACGAUCGGUAGCUGGUCUAAGAGGAUGAUCAGCCACAUUGGGACUGAGACACGGCCCAAACUCCUACGGGAGGCAGCAGUGGGGAAUAUUGGACAAUGGGCGCAAGCCUGAUCCAGCCAUGCCGCGUGAGUGAUGAAGGCCCUAGGGUUGUAAAGCUCUUUCACCGGGGACGAUAAUGACGGUACCCGGAGAAGAAGCCCCGGCUAACUUCGUG